CCAUGCCGCGUGUGUGAGAAGGCCUUCCGGGUUGUAAAGCACUUUCAGCGGGGAGGAAACGCCGGAGGUUAAUACCCUCAUGGCUUGACGUUACCCGCAGAAGAAGCACCGGCCAACUCCGUGCCAGCAGCCGCGGUA
Molecule: ribosomal RNA, 138 nt
Filed under: uncultured bacterium
Lineage: Bacteria
Description: partial 16S ribosomal RNA
Rfam family: Bacterial small subunit ribosomal RNA
Source: RNAcentral